Molecule: long non-coding RNA, 1422 nt
Filed under: Equus asinus (donkey)
Lineage: Eukaryota; Metazoa; Chordata; Mammalia; Perissodactyla; Equidae
Description: lncRNA (ENSEASG00005028167.1)
Source: RNAcentral
AUUCUUCCUACUCUCAUUCCUCUGGCACUUGGUGGCAAGAUUCCAGCACAGCAAGUGUAAUCAAUAGACUCCUAUAAGUCUUUCUUGCUGCUAGUGGUUGGGGUCAGCCGUUGGUGAGCCUAAAGGAAUAAUAAGGGCCUCCCCUCUUCUGGUUAGAUCCUACUAUAGACUAGCAUAGUGUUUUCCUUUUUUCUCUUGUUUGGUCAAAUAGGUGAAAGCAUUUAGAUUUCCUGAAAUUAUUUUCUGUUUAGGGAUUAUCUUUAAGAUACCGAAUCGGAUACUUCAUGGAGACUCUUCACCUUGUUGUGUGUUGGUCCCUACCCUUAGCUCUGGGAAAAAAUUUGCCCUAGUGGUAGAAACGUUAGACUUUCUGGAUCCAGAGCUCAUGGGUUUUGCCUUCAGUCAGUUCUGCUUUUGGAUUUGGUCCUGGAUGCCCUAGCUGGGCUUUGCUGCUGAUCUUUGGUUGCUGUGGUUAGGUUUCCACCAUGAGUGGCUAGAUCCCCAGAUGCUGUCUGUCUGAUUGAUUGAAGCUCUGCUUAUUGCCUGCCAUCAGAGUCACCUGAUGAUAAACUCUGUUCACCUGCAAGGCUAUCCACCUGUUGUCUACUUCUAGACCUAUCUAACGCUUAACAUCUGUCUGACUGAACUUCCUUCCUUAUCCAGCCAGUCUUCCUUUAGUUUGCUGUGAGGAUUUUCCUAACAGCCUCUCCAUCUGUCUGAUCUGGCUCCAGUGGGACAGUCUAACAUCUGUAUUUGGUCUCCUCCAGAUUGGCCAUUUGUGUUACUGACAAAAUCCCUGGUCCCAAAGCAAAAGAGAAUGGCGUAUAGUGGAAAUAUGUGAGAAGCAGAAGGCGAAGAGUAUGUAAAGUGGGUCGCCACCACAGAGUGCCUUGAUGAGCAGUAUGUAGGCCCGCACCCAGAAUCUGAAGCUGAGAACCUUGGGCCGUUGAAGCAGAGAGCACGAACUUAACCAGUAUGCCACUGGGCCAGCCCCUGAGCAGUGUUUUUAAUGUUGUGAUACUAAUGCACUCUUUGCUGACUGACCUUUGCCUGUUUUUAUACUGCCAACACAAAGAAUCUUUAGACUGUUAGCACAGGGAUCCAGGGCUCUGAUUCACAAUAAAAUGCAAAGACCACAGAGCAGGUAAGAUCCCUGUAUCAGUUAUUUACAUCUCUGUGUGAACCAAGCGUGAUAAGGGAUAGAGGAAAAGGCCUAAAGGCUCUAGGCUGUUGGGAAGAAGCAGGCCUCUCUGAAAAUGCUGGGAUGGGUAUAAAGCCAGCUUUCUACUUCACACCUCUACCAAGUGCUGUUACUUAACACCCCCAGACGUUCUCACUCCACUGCUGUGCCCACUCUUAUGUCUGUUUUCCUCCUUUGUUUUAUUCUGUCAUAUGUGAUUUUAGUUUUCAGUUACCUUUCUU